UGUGAUUGAAUGCGACACAAUUGGUAUCAGUGAUCCAUGCCUUGUGGUUCGUGUGGACUGUAAGACUGUGAUGCAAGUGAAACGGCUGCGGUGGAAGUUCCGAGGGAAUCAUACCAUCUUGGUUGAUGGUUUGGCAGUGGAAGUUCUUUGGGAUGUUCAUAAUUGGCUGUUUGGCACGUCUGUUGGAAAUGCUGUUUUUAUGUUCAAGACAUGCCUCUCAGAUGAGAAGUUAUGGUCAAGCCACCAACCACUUACAGAUCCAAAUGUGUUGCCAUGGUCCUUCUCACAGAGAUUUCUGGA
Molecule: unclassified non-coding RNA, 300 nt
Filed under: Hevea brasiliensis (rubber tree)
Lineage: Eukaryota; Viridiplantae; Streptophyta; Magnoliopsida; Malpighiales; Euphorbiaceae
Source: RNAcentral